UCAAAUCCCUAACUCACGAUCCCCAAAUUCCUAAAUCCUUCUUUCCCUCUCUCAUUCCCUCUUUCCCUCAAAUCCCUAGCUCCCCCCUCUCUCUCUUUGAACUCACGCCCGACGUCUCCGCCUCCGCCUCUGCCUUCGUCUCCCGCCUCCGGUCGUCGCCGCCGCCUUCGUCUCCCGCCUCGGGUCGUCGCUGCCGCUUCGUCUCCCGCCUUCGGUCACCGUCACCGCCUCUUGAUCCGCCUCCAGUCAUCAUCGCAGCUGCCUCAAGGUCUGGUUCUUCCACCGCCCAUUUCGAUUUCCCUCUUUGCGAAAAGAAACCGUAAGGCUAAACUCCCCCCUUUCUCUCUCACUCUUCAACCAGCUCUUCUCCAAGUCCUCCUCGACUAGGUUGGUUAAGAGUUUGAUGAUUCCAUUUGUUCUAGUCAGUUUGGUAGUUAAUUAUAUGCUGUUUGAUUUUAAUCGUUUCAUACAGAGCUCAGCUCUAGGAUAAGAAUUGUGUUUGUGUCAGUUCAAUUAGAAAUCUCAACCUUCUUGAGGAUGGAUCGGUGCAUGCUUGGCUGUGCCAUAUAGGUGCUUGCAGGUUCUAAAGGAACAAUCGAAAAGCAAAAAUGAUAAUAACAAAAUAGAAUAAAAUAUAGAGAGCAAGAAAGGAAAUAAGUCGUUGAUGAUAAUUUAAUAUAAGAUAUUUUCUUGUUUGAUUCAACUGAAUAGCAAAUAAGACUGUUCGUUAAGUGACUAAAAGGCAAUGUUCAUCAGACAGGUGAAAUUGUUGCAGCCAGAGUGUUUUCGAUGUCUAGUUUUAGACAUUUACUUGAAUGUGUUAUACCUAUGAGUAUCCCAUUGAAUUAUGAAUUACUAUGUCUAACUGUUAAAAGAAAAUUACUGUACAUGUAUUUUUGAUUCACACAACAAACUGUAUACUCCUAUUUUUCAUAGAUUAUGUGGAAAUUGGAAUACCACAUAAUCUUUUAAAAUGUAUAUAGAUAGAUAUAGUUUUCAGAGAGACAUGAACUUUUAAACUCUCAAAUUCUGUUUUUAUUUAUUUUCUAAAUAUAUAUUAUUUGAGGUGACUUUUUUUUUGUAACAAAACCAUAGGUAACUUGAACACAUAUUAAUCUCUAUUAUACUCGUGAAAAUCAUGUGAUUUGGAAGAUAUGAAAUGAAUGAAUAAUUGAAGUGCCCAUUUCCUCUACGUAUGUAUAUUAUAUAUAUAUAUAUGCAUUGAAAAUCCAGUAAUUUGGGAGCACAGUGAUGCCAGGGGAUUACAUGCUUGCAACUGAAGUGGGUGGGAUCAAUGAUAACCUUCCCUUAUUGUUAUCAUUAUCACUAAUUAAAAUACACUCCCAAACUCUAAUUUGAUGUUCUGAUAAAGUAGCAUGAUUUAUGAGAUAAUGAUCAUAUUACUUGCUUUACUAGCCUGCAGUUUUUUCAAGCAAAAAAAUGUCUACCAAUCUAAGCCAAUUAACCAAACAACAAGAUAUAUGAAGGUAUUGUAGGCUAGAGGGGCAAUAUAAAUAAAAUAUAUAUAAAUAUAUGAAGUGAGUGGGGGUGGGGCAAUACAUAAAUUUAUUUUUCUCAAAAGUGGGCUAUUUGGAAAUUCAGAUUCUAUUAUGAGAGGUAUGACAUGGAACUUAGGAAGUGUUGAACAUGCUAUGGUUCAAGUGUACCUUUGCUUCAAAUGUUAGCUUUUAAGAUGUUUGGACAAUCUAUACUUCCUCUUCUUGUUGUGAAAGAAAUUGGAGUACUUAUUCAUUUGUUCAUUCAUUUAGAAAGAAUAAAUUAACUUCAAAAUGUAUAUAUAGAGACUUUGAUCUUUGUAAAUGUGAAUAAAUGCGCUUUAUGUCCUUUUUCUUUUUCUCAAAGUGCUGAAAAUUGCCAUAGUUUUCAUCCAACUCCUUAACAACACAAAAGAACAAGCAGUUUUGAAAGAUAGGAAAUAGAUUCACUAGGAUUUGUGGCCUUAUCUAUAAUUCAAUAUCAUUAAAGUUUGUACCAAUUUGUUGUAUUGCUUGACCUUUUUAUUCUUUUUGUGAAAAAUCAGUCAUUAUUCCUUUUGCUUUCCAGCACUUCCAUGAAACUUUGAUAUGCUCGCUCUAGUCAAUUGAUUUUAACUUGUUGAUUAUGUCUUGAUUCUUUAAUUCAUGAUUACUUAAAUGUUAUUUUUACUUGUAGGUGUUUCAAGUAUGAAGCUUUAGAAGUUAUAGUGGUUUUCUUAUUGCAAUUAUUUUGUAUAGCUAUGCUAUGUUGUUGUAUUGCUAGUUUGUUUGAGGAUUAGAAUAGUGUUUUCCUUGCUUAAGCUUUUGUGUACUACCUAUCAAUUAUUGUUUAGUUUAAUAUUGUUAUACCAAGCUGGCGCUUAAUCGUUACCAACACUAUUUUUAUCAAAGCAUGGAAUGACUAUUUAAAAUCACUGCCUUCUCUAGCCCCAGAUUUUCCUUGCCUCUUCCGCCAUUAAAUUGCUGAUUUUUUGGUCUGAUCACUAGCAAGCAGUUGCUCUGUAUGAUCUAUAUUGCACUCCUUUGAAGUUAUGUUCAUAUACAAGUUAAGGUUGAAUGUGGUAUAUAUCUCGAUACAUUUGCCCAAUGAUGGAAAUCUUUAUUUAUUUUGCGGUCUUAUGGACAACACAACACUGCCAAGCCAAACGAGGCCUUAGUCGUGAACAGUUGCCUCUACUGCUAUGGCUACCUUCUCUUUCUACUUUCUUUCUUUUAAACACACUCUCUCACACACACACUAAUAGUUCCUUGGAUGUGUUUAUUGUAGUAUACAAGCAAAUAGCAUUUUCAUGCAUAUAUUCCUUAGAGAUGAUUAUUGGUAGAGGUAUUUGAUGACUUAUGGAGAUAAAUCAUUGAUGAAUUGAUCAAAGAUGUUUGGGAUCUGAAGGAAUCCGAAUAUGAUUGAUGUUCUUUGUGGUGUUACUAUUUAGAUUUGUUUUUUCUCACUUGAGAUUCAUUAUUUUAUCAUUUAUAUUUUUGAGUGUCUUGUGAAAAACAAUAGUUUUAAAAAUAACAUUGGAUAUUAGUGACUAAAUAUAUAUGCACUGGGCUUAGGGUAGUUUAUAUACCUAUUUUGUCAAUGUUGGCUUACUUAGAAUGUGAGGGAGGAAAAGACAGCCUCUGAUUGUUUGACUGACCUUUUGUUCCGUGUGAGGAGGGACUUGUCAAAAAAACCAUCUUGGAUGUGUGAAGUUGUAUUUGAAGCACUCAAGGAGUAUUGGAAUACUCCAGAAUUUAAAAACAAAUCAGAAAAGGCCAAGAAAAAUCGGUCUUCAGAUGUCGGAGGUAGCAAGCAUACUUGUGGUUCCAUCUCUAUAUCAGAGCAUAAGAAGAGACUGUCUAAGCUACUUGGUCGCUCACCUACACAGGUUGAGUUAUUUAUUGCGACGCACCAAAAAAAAGAUAAAUCAGGAUUCGUUGACAAUAGGUCUGAGGAAACUUAUGCUGACUUCCAAAUGUGCUAACAUGAUGCAUCAUCACAAUCAUCAGCAGUUGGCCCGAUAGAAGAUAGUGACGCUGCUGCACAGCCUUCACAACUAGCUUUUGAUGAGACAUCAUUAUGGUUGGAGGUUGCAGGCAAGAAAAAGAAGGGUCGUGUAUAUGGGAUCGGAUCAUUAAGAGGAUUCGUCAUUGCCAUGGAUAGAUAUUACAUUGUAUUAUUUUUAUUAUUCAUGGACGAUGUAUUUUAUUAAUAUUGUAUGGAUUUCUUGUAUGAAUUUAAUAUUAUAUGGAUUUAAUAUUGUGUAUAUCAAGUUUAUAUAUUUAUACAUUA
Diospyros lotus (date-plum) is the source of this 3768-nucleotide long non-coding RNA. RefSeq lists it as uncharacterized. NCBI's taxonomy places the organism in Eukaryota, Viridiplantae, Streptophyta, Magnoliopsida, Ericales, Ebenaceae. The record is from RefSeq and is a predicted model, not a curated record. The transcript is spliced from 3 exons.